GACAGAGGUGCCGAGCGUUAGGCGGAAUCACUGGGCUUAAAGCGUGUGUAGGCGGAUCGUUAAGUACCUUGUGAAAUCCCACGGCUUAACCGUGGAACUGCUUGGUAUACUGGCGGUCUUGAGCCACCUAGGGGCAACCGGAACAAAUGGUGGAGCGGUGAAAUGCGUAGAUAUCAGGAGGAACACCGGUGGUGUAGACGGCUUUCUGGACCGUAACUGACGCUGAAACACGAAAGCGUGGGUAGCAAACAGG
This 253-nucleotide ribosomal RNA is filed under the name uncultured bacterium. RNAcentral's name for it is "partial 16S ribosomal RNA". It matches the Rfam family "Bacterial small subunit ribosomal RNA", at positions 524 to 776 of the family's 1533-position model. The record is from RNAcentral.